GACGAACGCUGGCGGCGCGCCUAACACAUGCAAGUCGAGCGAGAACCAUUCCUUCGGGAAUGGGGACAGCGGCGAACGGGUGAGUAACACGUGGGUAAUCUACCCUCGGCUCUGGGGAUAGCCCGGGGGAAACCCGGAUUAAUACCGGGAUAGCCUCUUGGGGCCCUUCGGGUUCGUUGUAGAAAAGGUAAGCGUUCGGCCUCCGACUGAGGAUGAGCCCGCGGCGGAUUAGCUUGUUGGCGGGGUAACGGCCCACCAAGGCUACGAUCCGUAGCUGGUCUGAGAGGACGAUCAGCCACACUGGGACUGAGACACGGCCC
Molecule: ribosomal RNA, 320 nt
Filed under: uncultured bacterium
Lineage: Bacteria
Description: bacterial SSU rRNA
Rfam family: Bacterial small subunit ribosomal RNA
Source: RNAcentral